Molecule: long non-coding RNA, 734 nt
Organism: Leptinotarsa decemlineata (Colorado potato beetle)
Lineage: Eukaryota; Metazoa; Arthropoda; Insecta; Coleoptera; Chrysomelidae
Source: RefSeq, a predicted model, not a curated record
CCCUGUUCAGAUUGUUUAAUUUUGUUGGUGUAUAUUGUCGGCAUUCAGCAUUCAUAUUUAGGUAUUUUUAAAUUGUGUUCUAUUUUCUUAAUAUUGUGCUUGCUCAUUAGGAUUGUUUUGAUCAUCGACAAUUAUGACUGACAGAAACAGGGUUUCAUAAAAAAAGAAUUUGGAAAGUUUGGAAACGUAACAAAAUUAUAUCUAACAGGAGAAUUUGCUAAAGUAUAUUUCGACGAUUUAGAGUCCUGUCAUAAAGCUUGUAGAGAAUUGAAUAACAAAUUCGGCUGGACAGUUGAGCAGGAAGAAAAUAAAAAUUUUCGUAAAUCCCCAAGGGGUAAUUCACAACCGUUUGGGGGGAACUCUGAGAACAGUUCAAGGGGUUUUUCUCAAUCUGCUUCUUCAAAUUUAGGGACAACUUCCGUGAAUCCUCAAAACAAAAUGAACAAUUACGACUAUCUAGAUGACGAAUUUUCUGAAAACACGGACUACUGUGAUAUACAUGGAAAUCCGCUGGUUUUGUUUCAAGCAGAUUCUGGUGCAAAGUAUGUCAAUGUGGAGGAUGUUCGAAAGGCAGGGUUUGCCAUUUUCAGAAGGGAUUGUUUCAACCCUUUGUUAGUUGAUAGAAGGCAAAUCCAGAAGGAAUUUGAAUUGCAUCUGUUGUCAGAAGCAAAGACUUACAUUCUGAAAAAUAAAGCUGUUGCUAUAGAUGAAGAACAUAUCUUACGGACAAUAGA